Long non-coding RNA from Dicentrarchus labrax (European seabass), 2125 nucleotides. RefSeq lists it as uncharacterized. NCBI's taxonomy places the organism in Eukaryota, Metazoa, Chordata, Actinopteri, Moronidae. The record is from RefSeq and is a predicted model, not a curated record. The transcript has 11 exons.
CCUCCAUAUGUCCUUCUCUUGUCUUGUCAUUUCUCCUGGUCUCCAUUCAGACAAUGAAGUUAGUGCUUGGUACAUUUGCACUCAGAACUGGAAGACUCCUAUUGAUUUAAGCUUUUUCUGCUUAUGAGGACCGAACAAUGUGCUUAACAGGACAAAAAGGCUUCAUGGAGAUACAACACACAUCUUUGAAUUGAGAUGCCUUCCUCAAGAGAAUCUCAUAACAGAGGAUCCUGUUUGGGAAGCCCUUUCUGCAGAUCCUGAUGCCUUCCAGCACACCAUUACAGCGCAGCUGGUGCAUCACCAGAGGAUUCUCCAUGGCCCCAGGAGUCUUGGUCUCAUUGGGGAUGAUGCAGCGUACAAAGUGAGGCACAAAGAUAACUUGUGAAAUUCCUGCUGGCGGCCUUUGGGGGCUUGGUGGUUCAGAGGACAGCUUGGGGACAGCUUGUGACGCAAGUAGUCAGGACAGGAUUUUUUCUUUGAUCAGCAGCAACAGACUGUGGACCUCUGUGUGGAUUCUCCUCCUGAGUACUGCUUGUGUUGUGAUGAGGCAAUGACCACAACAAUUCAAAAUGAUGGAAAGGUCUGUCUUGGAGGACUCAUCACUGAAUACACCAAUUUGAGGUUAUCUGCUGUCAGUCAAACAUCUUUGUCAAGUCAGCCUCUUUUUUGUGAUCCAGAUGACCCUCCCUCAUCAGGCUUUGAAAAGAUGCUUGUCACUAAAGACUGGCCUCCACUACUGAUAUGAAGAGGAUCCUGUUUGGGAAGCCCUUUCUGCAGAUCCUGAUGCCUUCCAGCACACCGUUACAGCGCAGCUGGUGCAUCACCAGAGGAUUUUCCAUGGCCCCAGGAGUCUUGGUCUCAUUGGGGAUGAUGCAGCGUACAAAGUGAGGAUCAUCCAUGCUGCAUAACGCUCUUUGAGGUUAAACAGCACAGCAGGCUCAUGGAGGAAGCUGUCUAAAUCCCUGCGGAAAUCUUGUUUUGCAUCCCCUUCCUGGCUUUGGAGUUGUAACCAGAUUCCUCCAAGAUAUCUUUAAGCCUUGAAGGACAAGCCAUGUGAGAUCAAGGUCAACAUGCAGUGCUAGACAAGUGUCAAGCUGAUAUCCACCCCUCACUUGGCUCUCUCUGACAGUGCAAGAACUGUAGCAUCAGUCCCUCCUUUGUGCUACUGCAGAAGAAUAAGAGUUCUAGUACUUUGAAGACAAAGGAGACUACAGCCAAGGAGAUCCCAAAGGUCUUAGGUGGCCAUCUGUGAGUUUCACUCCUCCUCUAGCCCUUUCUGUGAUGAAGAAUGAUAAGAGAGUAGACAAAGAGAGACGGAUUAGGGGACCAACAAGACUCAACAAGUGUUAUACAAGGAAGUACACCAGAACUAGAUUUUGAUUAGUAAAUGUAAUAUUCAAGAUGUUUUAAGUUAGUGAUUGUGACAUUCAUUUUACAUGACAAAGGUUUAUUUUACUGUCAGCAUUCCUUUACUGUAGUAUGUUGUAUGAAUUUAAACCAUGUCGCACUUAAUGCAUUUGGAGGAAGAUGUUUUAAAAUGCAUAUAUGCUAAAGAUCCACGUUUAGUUUUAGUAACAUCUCAAGCCAUUUUUGUUGACACUGUGAAAACUGAUUCCUAGCGUGAGUUCAGUGUAAAUCAUUUAUCUUUUUUUUAAAUAAUUUAUUUGAAAUAGGUUAACAAAAAUGUUGGUAAUGCCAACAGAGCCACAACAUUAGCGUGUUCCACUCACUGCAUACGAGCAAACAAGAACAGUAGGAACUUUAAGUGAGAACGUAACACUAACCCAGUGCUCUCACAACAUCAUUUAACAUUGUUUGUUUGUUAUUUUGUUUACAUUUAUUUGAUUGGUAUGUUUAUUGAUGUCUCUGCAUUCCCCAAAAAUCACAUUGAAUUUACUAAAUAGUUCAAUAGUAUAAUAAAAAUGUUAAUUUAGGGGCACCUUGGGGACCUGGAGGUUAAGGAGCUAACCAUGAGCCAUCCCUGGUUUGAGUCUGGCCAGGGAGGUGACCUUUAUUGCAUGCCGUCCCCUUUCUCUUCUCUAUCCCCUCUUUCUGUCAUAUUUGUACUGUCAACUCACUAAUAAAGGCAUGAAAUGACCAGAAAUAAACCGUUUUUAAAAAACAA